AUCAAGGAACUGUGCCCGAAUGUCCAAGGACCACUUUGAUAGAGUGGCUAAUAGGGGUUGAAGUCCCCUCAGUUCUU
RNAcentral lists this transfer RNA (77 nucleotides) under Hemibarbus maculatus (spotted steed). RNAcentral describes it as "tRNA-Ile". The record is from RNAcentral. Lineage: Eukaryota; Metazoa; Chordata; Actinopteri; Cypriniformes; Gobionidae.